UGGUGAACUGAAUACAGCAUCAUCACUUGAGGAAUAUGCCAAGGUAAACCGCGAUGAUGACGAAGAUGAUGAUGAUGAAGAAGAUGAAGGUCAAGUUAUUUGAGAUGCACAAUUUGGAGAAUAACCAUAUGGCCCUUUAUAGAUCUCCCUUCAUGGUCCAUAGUUUGAUGCACACUAGCUCAUUUGUAUUGGCAGCUUUGGAGAAAAGUAAUUUAUUGGGCAAAAUUGAUACAGGCUGUUUGGUUUGCCUCCCCUUCUACAGUAAAGGACUAAGAGUGAGAUCAACACACUAUUCCAUUCCUUUUCCAUUUCAUAUUUUCCUAGCUAGUGAAGAGUUCUGAGAGUGUAAUAUAGAGUAAGAUAGAUUCUUAAGCCAUUUUUUAAUGUAAUUCAGCUAAAAAGACAGCCUGCUAGUUGCUUCAUAAUGUGAUGUAGGAGCAUUGAUGUUUUGUUGGUCAAUUUACUCAAAUAGUAACUGGUCUUUGGUUUUUUGGAACUUUAUGGCCCAUCAAAUUAUCUCAAGAAUAAAUUGGCUGGCUGGGCGUUUGCAACUCCAAUAUUUGUG
RNAcentral lists this unclassified non-coding RNA (565 nucleotides) under Hevea brasiliensis (rubber tree). Lineage: Eukaryota; Viridiplantae; Streptophyta; Magnoliopsida; Malpighiales; Euphorbiaceae. The record is from RNAcentral.